RNAcentral lists this ribosomal RNA (396 nucleotides) under Triticum aestivum (bread wheat). RNAcentral's name for it is "partial small subunit ribosomal RNA". Lineage: Eukaryota; Viridiplantae; Streptophyta; Magnoliopsida; Poales; Poaceae. The record is from RNAcentral.
AUGCUCCUCGGGAAAGAUGGACUCUACGGAGCUCUUCAAAUCAAAAAUGAGGCAGAAACUUGCUACGUAGAAACUGACGGUGCAUGGGCAAGCACCGCCAAGAACUCAAACAUAAGAAAAGCUAUACAAAGGGUGUUAGGCAACUCUUUUUUAGAAAAGAUCAAAGAAGAUAUAUUCCUCAAUUUCCAGGAGCGCGUAAAGAAUCAAAACCUGACCACAUGCCUGAUAGCAAAACAAGUGCUGCUUGAUACUUUGAACAUUGUCUCUUCUUGUAAUGGCUCUCAACAUACAGAGAAGUUAGAGUCACCCGACCAUUUAUACAUGCCAACUGACAAAGAUAAUGGGUCUGGCAGUACUAUUAGAGUUGAUUCUAAUGGGAUUGAAAAUGGGCAGUGA